Molecule: ribosomal RNA, 449 nt
Filed under: uncultured bacterium
Lineage: Bacteria
Description: partial 16S ribosomal RNA
Rfam family: Bacterial small subunit ribosomal RNA
Source: RNAcentral
AAUGAACGCUGGCGGCAGGCCUAACAUAUGCAAGUCGAACGAGGUAGCAAUACCUAGUGGCGGACGGGUGAGUAACGCGUGGGAACGUGCCCCUUGGUACGGAAUAGCCCUGGGAAACUGGGAGUAAUACCGUAUGUGGUCGAGAGACGAAAGAUUUAUCGCCAAGGGAUCGGGCCGCGUUGGAUUAGGUAGUUGGUGGGGCAAUGGCCUACCAAGCCGACGAUACAUAGCUGGUUUGAGAGGAUGAUCAGCCACACUGGGACUGAGACACGGCCCAGAAUCCUACGGGGGGGAGCAGUGGGGGAUGUUAGAGAAUGGGGGAAACCCUGAUCUAGCCAUGCCGCGUGAUCGAUGAAGGCCUUAGGGUUGUAAAGAUCUUUCAGUGGGGAAGAUAAUGACGGUACCCACAGAAGAAGCCCCGGCUAACUCCGUGCCAGCCGCCGCGGUAA